This is a long non-coding RNA of Anas platyrhynchos (mallard), 285 nucleotides long. RefSeq lists it as uncharacterized. The record is from RefSeq and is a predicted model, not a curated record. Lineage: Eukaryota; Metazoa; Chordata; Aves; Anseriformes; Anatidae.
CCCGGGCCCAUUUCGGCGCGGCGCCGCCCGGGCCCAUUUCGGCGCGGCGCCGCCCGGGCCCAUUUCGGCGCGGCGCCGCCCGGGCCCAUUUGUCAUGUGGAGCUACAGAGCAGUCUCCUGGAGAGUUUCAGCAGCUUGAUUACAUGCUACAUGUGGCUUGACAGCGUAGAUGCAGCAUUGCCAAGAGACUGAGCAGGGUUGUAUCAGAGUCACCUUUUCAUCUGCAAGGGGUGCUUGGUUCAGUUGUGGAGAGGGAAGGGAAAUUGUCAUGUCAGGAAGCUCUGA